Molecule: ribosomal RNA, 502 nt
Filed under: uncultured bacterium
Lineage: Bacteria
Description: partial 16S ribosomal RNA
Rfam family: Bacterial small subunit ribosomal RNA
Source: RNAcentral
GACGAACGCUGGCGGCGUGCUUAACACAUGCAAGUCGAACGGUGAAGCGCUUUCCUUUUUGGUUGGUGUGGAUGAGUGGCGAACGGGUGAGUAACACGUGAGUAACCUGCCCCCUUCUUCUGGAUAACCGCAUGAAAGUGUGGCUAAUACGGGAUAUUCUGCGCCUGCUGCAUGGUGGGUGUGGGAAAGAUUGUGCCUUUGGGUGUUUUCGGUGGGGGAUGGGCUCGCGGCCUAUCAGCUUGUUGGUGGGGUGAUGGCCUACCAAGGCGGUGACGGGUAGCCGGCCUGAGAGGGUGGACGGUCACACUGGGACUGAGACACGGCCCAGACUCCUACGGGAGGCAGCAGUGGGGAAUAUUGCACAAUGGGCGCAAGCCUGAUGCAGCGACGCCGCGUGAGGGAUGGAGGCCUUCGGGUUGUGAACCUCUUUCGCCAGUGAAGCAGGCCUGCUCCUUGUGGGUGGUUGACGGUAGCUGGAUAAGAAGCGCCGGCUAACUACGUG